AAUCGAUUCACACAAAUCUAGCCGCCCCCCUGCUUCACACAAUGUUCGUCUUUUCUCUCUCACCAGGCCACCAUGAACCCUAGCCGCCGCCCCUCGCUAUGCCGCAAUGCCGUGAGCCAUCAGCGGUGAGGUGACGACCAGUCGACCAUCAUCCCCGAUCGCCGUGCCCCGUGCGUCGCGCCGCCAAGCCAGACCCUCUUGUGUCGCUCCACUGCCUGUGACGUAGCCAUCCACCAAUGGUGCUCCAUCUCCUGGUGACAAGUGUAGCUAUUGGCCGCUGCAGUUAGUCACCACCUCUCGUCCUCUUCCAAGCUGGUUGCCGGAUCGCCGGCUGCUGCUCUUCCCGUGCUCUACCUAGCAGCUGAAGAGGCAGAGGCGGAUGCAGAAGCAGGAGAGGAAUCAGUCUUACAUAGCAUCUUUGAAGAUGAAGAUGUUGAAGCAAAAGUUGUCGAAGGUGCCAAUCCAGAAGCUACUAUGUUGAAGUACUAAGCCCUCAUGGUGUUUGCUUCUUAUCGAUUCCAUGCGCCGAUGUUACUUGAUCUUACUUUUUGCUGUCAAAUAUAAAUGAGUACGCAUGCAUGAAUCUUGUUGCUGGUGAAGUGGUGAUUACAUAUGGUGCUGAUUUUCUAUUUGAAGAUUUUCAUGUGGUGUAUUGUAUUA
Molecule: long non-coding RNA, 660 nt
Organism: Triticum aestivum (bread wheat)
Lineage: Eukaryota; Viridiplantae; Streptophyta; Magnoliopsida; Poales; Poaceae
Exons: 2
Source: RefSeq, a predicted model, not a curated record